AUCGCUUCUCAGCCUUUUGGCUAAGAUCAAGGGUAGUAUCUGUUCUUAUCAGAAAGAGUCUCAAAGGGAGACCAGAGAAACUCAGUGUAUAGUAGUUUUCCACGCAGAGGAGACAAUGACUGCACAGGGAGAAAGAAAUGAACAUUUGCCUUUCCUGCUUCCCAAAGCUGU
RNAcentral lists this small nuclear RNA (171 nucleotides) under Fukomys damarensis (Damara mole-rat). Its description in RNAcentral is "U2 spliceosomal RNA". It matches the Rfam family "U2 spliceosomal RNA". Rfam says of the family: U2 is a small nuclear RNA (snRNA) component of the spliceosome (involved in pre-mRNA splicing). Complementary binding between U2 snRNA (in an area lying towards the 5' end but 3' to hairpin I) and the branchpoint sequence (BPS) of the intron results the bulging out of an unpaired adenosine, on the BPS, which initiates a nucleophilic attack at the intronic 5' splice site, thus starting the first of two transesterification reactions that mediate splicing. Lineage: Eukaryota; Metazoa; Chordata; Mammalia; Rodentia; Bathyergidae. The record is from Rfam by way of RNAcentral.